GAUGAAGAACGCAGCGAAAUGCGAUACGUAAUGUGAAUUGCAAAUUCAGUGAAUCAUCGAGUCUUUGAACGCACAUUGCGCCCCCUGGUAUUCCGGGGGGCAUGCCUGUCCGAGCGUCAUUGCUGCCCUCAAGCACGGCUUGUGUGUUGGGCCCCGUCCUCCGAUUCCGGGGGACGGGCCCGAAAGGCAGCGGCGGCACCGCGUCCGGUCCUCGAGCGUAUGGGGCUUUGUCACCCGCUCUGUAGGCCCGGCCGGCGCUUGCCGAUCAACCCAAAUUUUUAUCCAGGUUGACCUCGGAUCAGGUAGGGAUACCCGCUGAACUUAAGCAUAUCAAUAGCGGAGGA
This 344-nucleotide unclassified non-coding RNA is filed under the name soil metagenome. RNAcentral's name for it is "partial contains 5.8S ribosomal RNA, internal transcribed spacer 2, and large subunit ribosomal RNA". The stretch from base 1 to 119 matches the Rfam family "5.8S ribosomal RNA", at positions 35 to 154 of the family's 154-position model. The record is from RNAcentral.